UUAAACUUAAUAUAAAGUUAUUUAUAUAACCAUUUUGUAAAUGGCUCGAAAAAUUAGAGGUUAGCUGAGCCAGCUAAAUAUCAUCACCUAAAUACAGUAGGCCUCUUGCCUCUUGCUGCACCAGUAGUAGUAGCUGCUAACCUAUAGGUCGAACUACUGGUUGUUCUUCUCGAGGGCAAAUUUGGGCGAUAAACACCACAAAAAUGAAGUUGUUGUAUGUCUCCACCUGUCGUCUUCUCCCAUGCGAAUUAUCCUGUAGAAAAGAAAUAAUGAUGGCUGAAAAGAAGACGGAGCGCACGAUCAUUAAGUUAUUGAUUUUUCUCUGGUCAAAGCGUAUACCUACUUGAUUCAGUUAAAAUGCAGGGGCACAUUAAUUGAAGUUUGAUUUUCUUUUGUGGAACAAUGUAGAGCAAUGUUAAAGGAUACAUUUAUAAACAAAUUUAUAAACAACAAUCGUUGCAUGUAGUAAAAGAAAAACCUCAAAUGAUGAUUUAUAUUUAUAGCGUAUUCCAAAACGUAUUUAUUUACUUUACUAAAAGAUAUAUAUUUAAUUUUUAAUUGUUUUCAAUUUUUUUAAUCUUUUUAUUAUUAUAUUCUCCACAGGAAUAAUUUGAAGACCGCUCCAUCUAGCUCCCUCCACAGCCAGACACAGCAACGAUCCUCCAGCUCCAUUCAGGCCGUGAAGGUGGACAGCUUUCUCUGAGCUGCUUUGGCCGUUUGCUGUUUGCUCAGCCUCCUGUUCCUCUCACGGAUUUCCCCCCCGAGCCUGCACAUCACACAUUUUUUUAUUGCUAUUGUCUCCAAUAGAAUUGCAUGCUCAGGGUGUGAGCUGAAGAGGCUUUUGAACACCCCCAGACUGCCCAGAGCCCUCUCCAUUUUUUUGGUGAUCUGGGUGAGAGGCCAGAAAGCGUCGAUGUUCCGUCCAAAUUCCCCCUCCAAAAGCUGGAUGGCAGCGAAAAACCCUUCCGAAGGCCUCAUUAGGUUUGCCGUUUCCGUGUAUUUUUUUGCCUCCAGGAAGGGGUGGUCCUCACUUGUGGCGUAGCUGUGGUCCUGAUGUCUGGCACCCAACAACAGCACCUCACAGUGUGGACAGGCCUGAACAAUUUCCUCCUUUUGUAGGACCCGGACAAGCCAGCCAGCAACGUAGAACAGGCCCUCCUCCUGGAUGCAAUCGCCAACAGUCUACAAGGUGGUAGGGAGGGCCAUUGAGGUCAUUGGAGCUGUUGAGGUGGAGGGGAUUGCGUCCUCUGACAUACUGGCUAGGAGGGUUGUCCCGUCAUCCAGCUCGCAGUUUGAUGCAGUCGAUGCAGAAAGAGCAGGAGAAAGAAAUGGCUGACUGACCUGAACUGCCAGCUUGCCACCCAGCUGAUGCAUUCCCUCAGGAAGUUCUCCUUCUCCUGGUUUCCGGAGCCUAGGGGUCGUCGCCAGGGGUUAGAAUCCUUGACUGAUCUGUUGUUCCUGAUUGAUUUCAGAAGGUGAGGGACAUCAAAAAUCACAGGAACCCUCUGAACCCCCACCAGGAUACAGUGGGAUUCCUCACCUCCCAGAGGGUCCAGGCUAGCCCCAAGGUUCCGCACAGCCUUCACAUUAGGGCUUCCCUGGUCACAUAUUACUGCCUGCACCUUUGAAAUUGGUUAAUACAUUGUUGUCAAUGCAAGCCCUAUAUGAUGUAGGUGGCGAAUGGCAUCCUUAAUGACGGUAGCAAUAUCAUCUGCUGGCAUUGAAGAUGGGGAAAAGAAGUAACCAACCGUCUGUUGAAAGAAAUGCCUUAGGACGAGUGUACACAUCCUCUCCACAGGGGUCAUGGUGGCGGCGAUGACUCCCAUUUGGGAGAUGAUUCCCUGUAGGAAGCCAGGCUGUCAGGAAAUAAAAGUUGUGCCCUAAUGAAGUUCCGGCAGCCCUCAGGACACCUCUGGAGCAUCUCCUCCAUAAUUUCAUGGGGACUACGAAAGAACAAGAGGUGGGGAGGCAAGUGGUGGCGGGUUGUCGCAAUCCACCAGUGUGGGGAUGGCAUCUCUGUUGGAUCUUGAUGCUGUGGCAACGGACAAGUCUUCUUCCUCUUUUAUUAUAUUGUUGUUCCUCUGUCCUUUUUUCCCUGCCUAUGUUCAGUGUUCAGUUCUCUUUUUUUUUUUUUUAUUAUUUACUAUGUUACUGUUCUUAUUGUGUUCUUGUGUGAUGUUUGAAUAAACUUGCCUGCAAUGUUGGUAUGUUUGUAUAAUUACUGUUAUACAACUGUUACUGUUUCAACGUGUCCUAGACCAUACUUCUCAUUCAACAAACAUGUGUAGCUUAUAAUGUGUUGCAGGGCAGAGCAAUUAUAUUCAAUGGCUUAAAACAAACCCAUCUGUAAAGAUCACUGAAUGCAUAGAAAUCAAUCAAUCAAAGUGGUGUAGAUGGUUUUCCCUCUGUGCAAGGUCAUUAGCCCAAUGCCUACAAAAAAAAUAACUGCAGUAAUAGCAGAUUUUGAAGUUGUUAAAUCGUUAACAAACGAUUUGUAUGGGACAAUCGUUUAAUGUAAUUUAAGUGCUUGAGUCUCGACACUUAAGAGAAUGUCUAGCGUGCAACUUGAAUAAGCCAUGUGCGAUUUUACCCGGGCUCCAGCGCAACUUUCCCUACCAGGUGCAGCCUCAGGAAGCCUAGGACCAUUCAUACAGGAGCAAGCAAGAACGUUACCUUUUUCUUUCCUUGGGAAACGAAAAGAAGGACAAUCCCUUUCCACUGUUGGAGCAGUUUAUCAUUGCACAUUUUCUAGGCAU
Long non-coding RNA from Gadus chalcogrammus (walleye pollock), 2756 nucleotides. RefSeq lists it as uncharacterized. The record is from RefSeq and is a predicted model, not a curated record. Lineage: Eukaryota; Metazoa; Chordata; Actinopteri; Gadiformes; Gadidae. The transcript is spliced from 9 exons.